Molecule: ribosomal RNA, 227 nt
Filed under: uncultured eukaryote
Lineage: Eukaryota
Description: partial 18S ribosomal RNA
Rfam family: Eukaryotic small subunit ribosomal RNA
Source: RNAcentral
GGGAAACUUACCAAGGCCAAACAGAGGUGGGAUUGACAGAUUGAGAGCUCUUUCUUGAUUCUUUGGGUGGUGGUGCAUGGCCGUUCUUAGUUGGUUGGGUGAUUUGUCUUGUUAAUUCCAAUAACGAACGAGACUCUCUCCUGCUAAAUAUUGUCUGCUUCUCUUUUGAGCAGUCAAUUCUUCUGAGAGGGACUGGCGACUCUUAGUCGCACAAGAUUGAGCAAUAA